This is a long non-coding RNA of Tachysurus fulvidraco (yellow catfish), 546 nucleotides long. RefSeq lists it as uncharacterized. The record is from RefSeq and is a predicted model, not a curated record. Lineage: Eukaryota; Metazoa; Chordata; Actinopteri; Siluriformes; Bagridae. The transcript has 3 exons.
CUUUUAUAAAGAUGACAGGUCUAUUUUUGUUUUCGUUUAUAAUUAGAACCUUAACAUAUACAGUUUACAAACUUUCCUUAGGCCAUUUUACCUCUAUCAAAGUUAUAAAAAGGGCAGUGUGGAGAAGGAAAAGAAGUGAAAGAGCUGUGCACUGACCUGUACUUGCGGUUGACCUCGUCAGCAGUGAGCGCGUGAUCAAACAUGAGCACUUUGUGUGAGUCCUGCAGACGAGGCCCUGUGUACUCUCUGUGCUCGAGUUCCACCGCAGCGUCCAGCAGGGACAAAUAGCGGCGUACAAUCAGAGCAUACGGACUGUCUGCAGAGCAGCACACAGCAAACAAUCCAGCUUAGUGCCACAGGCUGAAAUAGGAGUCCGUUAUAAAGACGUGUCUGGCUAGUUUUAAAACCUAUUAUCGUGGACUCACUGGUGACGUUGCUGAUGAAGGAGGGUGAGAAGACCCGGUGCAGCACCAGGCUGGGAAAGUGUCCGAGCUGGAAGAGGGACAUGAGGAUGUUGACUGUAGCCAGUGGUGAGCUCAGAGCCUU